CUACGGGAGGCACCAGUGAGGAAUAUUGGACAAUGGGCGAAAGCCUGAUCCAGCAAUGCCGCGUGUGUGAAGAAGGCCUGCGGGUUGUAAAGCACUUUCAGUAGGGAGGAAACAGUAACGGAAUAAUACCCGUUACCUUGACGUUACCUACAGAAGAAGCACCGGCUAACUCUGUGCCAGCAGCCGCGGUAAUACAGGAGGGUGCAAGCGUUAAUCGGAAUUACUGGGCGUAAAGCGCGCGUAGGUGGUUUGGUCAGUCGGAUGUGAAAGCCCCGGGCUUAACCUGGGAAUUGCAUUCGAUACUGCCAGACUAGAGUGUAGGAGAGGGAAGCGGAAUUCCAGGUGUAGCGGUGAAACGCGUAGAUAUCUGGAGGAACAUCAGUGGCGAAGGCGGCUUCCUGGACUAACACUGACACUGAGGUGCGAAAGCGUGGGGAGCAAACAGGAUUAGAUACCCGAGUAGUC
Molecule: ribosomal RNA, 465 nt
Filed under: uncultured bacterium
Lineage: Bacteria
Description: partial 16S ribosomal RNA
Rfam family: Bacterial small subunit ribosomal RNA
Source: RNAcentral